This 392-nucleotide RNase P RNA is filed under the name Echinicola strongylocentroti. RNAcentral describes it as "RNase P RNA component class A". It matches the Rfam family "Bacterial RNase P class A". From Rfam's summary of the family: Ribonuclease P (RNase P) is a ubiquitous endoribonuclease, found in archaea, bacteria and eukarya as well as chloroplasts and mitochondria. Its best characterised activity is the generation of mature 5'-ends of tRNAs by cleaving the 5'-leader elements of precursor-tRNAs. The record is from RNAcentral. Lineage: Bacteria; Pseudomonadati; Bacteroidota; Cytophagia; Cytophagales; Cyclobacteriaceae.
AGUGCAAGCCAACUUGUCGCUCCAAUCCCUGCGAUUGGUGAGGAAAGUCCGGGCAACAUAGAGCGCCAUACUUCCUAACGGGAAGGGGUCCAGCGGGAGACGGCUGGAUUACAGCCAGUGCAACAGAAAACAAACCGUCCACCGUAGGUGGAUAAGGGUGAAAAGGUGGAGUAAGAGCCCACCGGGCAUCGGGUGACCGAUGUCGCAUGGCAAACCUUAUGGGUUGAAAGAUCAAAUAGGCUCCGGUCCAAGAGCUGCUCGUUCAAUUCCUGCCUAGGCGGGAAAACCGGAGUGGGUAGAUCGAUAGAUCCUGUCCGCGAGGACAGGACCAGAUAAAUGACAAGUACCCGCCACGGCGGGGACAGAACCCGGCUUAUAGGCUUGCACAUUUA